UAUUACUCCAGGCAUAUAUUAAACAUCACUGUGUGCAUACAUUUUAACUUUUAAAGAUGUUGUUGCUCAUGUGACAUGUCCAAAUGUCGCUAACGUUACUCAUUUUUGUCUCCGUCACAUUAGCAACAUGAAAGUAGGAGACAGAACACAAUACUGUAAAAUCUGCCUUAUAUAUUGUGAAUUGUUUACAUGUGAUAAAUAUGAAAUGGAUGUACGUUCAUGCUAUGCAUAGUGUUUGUUUAUUUUUACUUUAUGUAAAGUAAUUAAAACAAAUAAAUCUGACAUCUGUUACUAACUUGAUAAUAGUCCAGGAACAGUUUGUCAUCUCAAAAAUAUAAAACAAAACAGGAUGCAAAAAAUAAUUGAAGAGUGCUUUGAAAAUUUAUGUAAUAAUAAGUACUAGCAUUUCAGUGAGAAUAAAGCAUAGAUUUAUGAUGAGUUUAUUUAAAAGUCGUUAUACAACUGCCAAAUUGGGUGCAGUUUGUAUAUUUUGAAAUAUCUAGCUUCACUGUACGUAUGCUGCCAAAUUGGGUGCAGCAGUUAGUCAUAGUGAAACCAGUAUUAUAUUUCCUUUAAGAGAACUCUAUUUUUCUUUUUUGAAAGCACAUGUUGUAACUUGCAUUUGUGAUAAGUAUUUUUGGCAAAUAUAGAAUGAUUUAUUUUUAUAACUACAUGUAAAAAAGAAACAAGAAAUAGAUCAGAGAAUACAUUAUUUUACUAGUAAUUUGGGAAAAUUUGUUGGGUGACAUACAUGUAGAUAUGAUAAUUAACACAAAAUGAUUGCUUGCAAAAAUUAAAGAAAAGUAUUGCAGUUUGAAACGAUGAAAUGUUUCUUCUGUUAAUUUGGACUGAUCUAUCAACUCCAAAAAUGAUUAUUGAUUUAUACAACUUACAAAAUGUCAAGUCAAAUAUAGAAUGGCAUUAAACAUUCUUUCAUCGAUUGUUUUAAAAGAUAUUUGUACUAAAUAUCUUGAGUAGCAAUAAUUCGUAUCUAUGAAGUUAUUUUGUAUAUUUGUAAGCAUUGUUUGGUUAUUUAUUGGUAUUGCCUUUAAUAUUUGUUUUGUUAUUCCAAUUGUUCUGUAUAGGCAUCCCUGAGUAUUAAAAGUUUG
Molecule: long non-coding RNA, 1109 nt
Filed under: Mytilus galloprovincialis (Mediterranean mussel)
Lineage: Eukaryota; Metazoa; Mollusca; Bivalvia; Mytilida; Mytilidae
Source: RNAcentral